Molecule: long non-coding RNA, 448 nt
Filed under: Parus major (Great Tit)
Lineage: Eukaryota; Metazoa; Chordata; Aves; Passeriformes; Paridae
Description: lncRNA (ENSPMJG00000012020.1)
Source: RNAcentral
CACUGAUUUGCUCAUUUGCUUCACAGCACCUGAAUUUCUCUGGCACAUUCAUUCCCCUCCUCAGUCAUAUUGAUCUGCUCUUUGCUCGUUCAGGGAAAAAUGCUGGAAAUGUCAUCCAUCUGCCCUUACGGAUGCAAGAGUAAGAUGUCCUUAUUGCUACAUGUCUGUUUGAAUGCAGAAUGCAAGACAGCCAUCCAUUUUACUCUAGCACAGAAAAUUGAAAGAACCCUGCUCAUUUAAUUCCUGUCUGAGUGGCCAACAGAAAUGACAUUCUCUUUAUAAACGAUUUCACAGCACAAAAAAAAAGGCUUCAUCUGCAAUUUUUUGCAAAAGUUCUCCCUGGACUAUUUUGCUGAUAAUUAAUUUAUUUUAAAGGCAUCUAUGUAAGGUGAAGAUGAGCUAGUACUCCUAUAAUUAUAAUUUCUUCUUUUUGCCUUGCAGAUAUUUC